GAUGAGCGCUGGCGGCAUGCCUAAUACAUGCAAGUCGAACGAAGCACUUGUGCUUAGUGGCGAACGGGUGAGUAAUACGUAAGCAACCUGCCCUACACACGGGGAUAACUACUGGAAACGGUAGCUAAUACCCGAUAGGUCAUAAAGUGGCAUCACUUAAUGAUUAAAGGUCCCUUCAAGGACCAGUUUGGGAUGGGCUUAUGGCGCAUUAGCUAGUUGGUGAGGUAACGGCUCACCAAGGCGAUGAUGCGUAGCCGACCUGAGAGGGUGGUCGGCCACACUGGGACUGAGACACGGCCCAGACUCCUACGGGAGGCAGCAGUAGGGAAUCUUCGGCAAUGGACGAAAGUCUGACCGAGCAACGCCGCGUGAGUGAAGAAGGUUUUCGGAUCGUAAAACUCUGUUGUUAGAGAAGAACAAGUAGGAGAGUAACUGCUCUUACCUUGACGGUAUCUAACCAGAAAGCCACGGCUAACUACGUGCCAGCAGCCGCGGUAAAAC
Molecule: ribosomal RNA, 501 nt
Filed under: uncultured bacterium
Lineage: Bacteria
Description: bacterial SSU rRNA
Rfam family: Bacterial small subunit ribosomal RNA
Source: RNAcentral